GCGUCGUAAUAUCCGCCGCAGGCUGACAUCCCGUGAUUCGCGUGUCUCUCCACACUCGGUUCUUUUUUUCGCACGCACACACGCACGCGGGACAUAAAACCGAACCGGAGGCCAGCCAGGCCAGUGUCGGCGGAUUCGACAAGCAGGCGCCGCGCCGCGCCGCUCUGCUCCGCUCGCACGCGCGCGCGGGGAACGUUCUCGAAAAAUGCAUCGCGGGACCGGAGAGACGUCGGCGUCGGUGACGGGAGGAAAGAGGGAAAGGAGCCCGCAAAAACGUCGCAUUCGAGACGCGGUUAAGAGAGAAAGAUGUGUGCAGACAGAUAAGGAAAAAUGAAGGAGUUCUCGAGACACACAGUUCAACAAGGCAAACAAUGCGAAGCACUAUAUCCGUUUAAUCUGACAAACGACACUGAGCUAAUCGUCAAACAAAUGAGGAGGAACAGAGUCUUCGUCUUUAGUGUACAUUCCCUCUUUCCUCGUUUUUCCGUGACCCACUUGCGUCGUCUUCGGAAUAAGGAGAAAAGAAGCCGGAAAAUGAAGAAACGAACCGACUGAAAUGAAGAGCGCACAUUUCUCCUCUUCGAUAUUUAAAUUGUGAAGAAACGAUAAGAAAUAAGAAGAAAAAUUACUAAUCCCCUUAAUAUUUGUCUAGAUAAAUGUGCGGCGAUAUAUCGAUUCUUUAAAUAGAUAUAAACAGUAUUAAAACAGUCAAAAAGUAGGUGUAAUAAUACAUAUUUUACUUGUAUCAUUGUUCAUAAAACUUAAGUCAAUUUUUUCUAAAAAGUAUUUGGUUAAAUAAUUUCAUUUUGUUACAACGAAAGCGAAAACACAAAGUAAUACAUCGUCGAUAGACGAGAUAUAUCGAUAGCCAGUCAAAACACUUAUUGAUAGAUUUAUGAGGAAGAUGAUCGAAAUCACGAAAAAUAAUAUUGAAAACAAAGUUUCAUUAAACGUGCAUUGAUUCCAUCAGA
Long non-coding RNA from Wasmannia auropunctata (little fire ant), 971 nucleotides. RefSeq lists it as uncharacterized. The record is from RefSeq and is a predicted model, not a curated record. Lineage: Eukaryota; Metazoa; Arthropoda; Insecta; Hymenoptera; Formicidae. The transcript has 2 exons.